This 484-nucleotide ribosomal RNA is filed under the name uncultured bacterium. RNAcentral's name for it is "partial 16S ribosomal RNA". It matches the Rfam family "Bacterial small subunit ribosomal RNA", at positions 29 to 523 of the family's 1533-position model. The record is from RNAcentral.
AGUGAACGCUGGCGGCGUGCUUAACACAUGCAAGUCGAACGAGAACGGAUUAUAGCUUGCUAUAAUUGUCAGCUAAGUGGCGCACGGGUGAGUAAUGUAUAGGUAAUAUGCCUCUUACUAAGGGAUAACAAUUGGAAACGAUUGCUAAUACCUUAUACUCCUUAUUAACCUAAGUUAAUAAGGGAAAGAUUUAUUGGUAAGAGAUUAGCCUGUAUUGUAUCAGUUAGUUGGUGGGGUAAUGGCUUACCAAGACUAUGACACAUAACUGGUUUGAGAGGAUGAUCAGUCACACUGGAACUGAGACACGGUCCAGACUCCUACGGGAGGCAGCAGUGGGGAAUAUUGCACAAUGGACGAAAGUCUGAUGCAGCAACGCCGCGUGGAGGAUGACACAUUUCGGUGCGUAAACUCCUUUUAUAUGAGAAGAUAAUGACGGUAUUAUAUGAAUAAGCACCGGCUAACUCCGUGCCAGCAGCCGCCGUAA